This 55-nucleotide transfer RNA is filed under the name Acanthemblemaria crockeri (browncheek blenny). RNAcentral's name for it is "partial tRNA-Pro". The record is from RNAcentral. Lineage: Eukaryota; Metazoa; Chordata; Actinopteri; Blenniiformes; Chaenopsidae.
UUUUUUAAAUUUUUUGAUGCCCCGAGCUCCGCCCCCCUUACAAUUUUUUGAUGCC